CAGCCGCCGCGGUAAUACGUAGGGUGCAAGCGUUAAUCGGAAUUACUGGGCGUAAAGCGUGCGCAGGCGGUUAUAUAAGUCAGAUGUGAAAUCCCCGGGCUCAACCUGGGAACUGCAUUUGAGACUGUAUGGCUAGAGUGUGUCAGAGGGGGGUAGAAUUCUACGUGUAGCAGUGAAAUGCGUAGAUAUGUGGAGGAAUACCGAUGGCGAAGGCAGCCCCCUGGGAUAACACUGACGCUCAUGCACGAAAGCGUGGGGAGCAAACAGGAUUAGAUACCCCUGUAGUCCCUGUCUCUUAUAC
RNAcentral lists this ribosomal RNA (301 nucleotides) under uncultured bacterium. Its description in RNAcentral is "partial 16S ribosomal RNA". It matches the Rfam family "Bacterial small subunit ribosomal RNA", at positions 509 to 807 of the family's 1533-position model. The record is from RNAcentral.